AAUGGGUCAGCGACUUAUAUUCUGUAGCAAGGUUAACCGAAUAGGGGAGCCGAAGGGAAACCGAGUCUUAACUGGGCGUUAAGUUGCAGGGUAUAGACCCGAAACCCGGUGAUCUAGCCAUGGGCAGGUUGAAGGUUGGGUAACACUAACUGGAGGACCGAACCGACUAAUGUUGAAAAAUUAGCGGAUGACUUGUGGCUGGGGGUGAAAGGCCAAUCAAACCGGGAGAUAGCUGGUUCUCCCCGAAAGCUAUUUAGGUAGCGCCUCGUGAAUUCAUCUCCGGGGGUAGAGCACUGUUUCGGCAAGGGGGUCAUCCCGACUUACCAACCCGAUGCAAACUGCGAAUACCGGAGAAUGUUAUCACGGGAGACACACGGCGGGUGCUAACGUCCGUCGUGAAGAGGGAAACAACCCAGACCGCCAGCUAAGGUCCCAAAGUCAUGGUUAAGUGGGAAACGAUGUGGGAAGGCCCAGACAGCCAGGAUGUUGGCUUAGAAGCAGCCAUCAUUUAAAGAAAGCGUAAUAGCUCACUGGUCGAGUCGGCCUGCGCGGAAGAUGUAACGGGGCUAAACCAUGCACCGAAGCUGCGGCAGCGACGCUUAUGCGUUGUUGGGUAGGGGAGCGUUCUGUAAGCCUGUGAAGGUGUGCUGUGAGGCAUGCUGGAGGUAUCAGAAGUGCGAAUGCUGACAUAAGUAACGAUAAAGCGGGUGAAAAGCCCGCUCGCCGGAAG
RNAcentral lists this ribosomal RNA (730 nucleotides) under Escherichia coli. RNAcentral's name for it is "partial 23S ribosomal RNA". It matches the Rfam family "Bacterial large subunit ribosomal RNA", at positions 614 to 1343 of the family's 2925-position model. Lineage: Bacteria; Pseudomonadati; Pseudomonadota; Gammaproteobacteria; Enterobacterales; Enterobacteriaceae. The record is from RNAcentral.